Molecule: ribosomal RNA, 198 nt
Filed under: uncultured bacterium
Lineage: Bacteria
Description: partial 16S ribosomal RNA
Rfam family: Bacterial small subunit ribosomal RNA
Source: RNAcentral
CGGAUUGGAGUCUGCAACCCGACUCCAUGAAGUUGGAUUCGCUAGAAUCGCGCAUCAGCCACGGCGCGGUGAAUACGUUCCCGGGCCUUGUACACACCGCCCGUCAAGCCAUGGAAGCCGGGAGUGCCUGAAGUGCGUGACCGCAAGGAGCGUCCUAAGGCAAUACCGGUGACUGGGGCUAAGUCGUAACAAGGUACC